UACGUAGGGUGCAAGCGUUAAUCGGAAUUACUGGGCGUAAAGCGUGCGCAGGCGGUCCGUUAAGACAGAUGUGAAAUCCCCGGGCUCAACCUGGGAACUGCAUUUGUGACUGCAUCGCUAGAGUACGGCAGAGGGGGAUGGAAUUCCACGUGUAGCAGUGAAAUGCGUAGAGAUGUGGAGGAACACCGAUGGCGAAGGCAGCCCCCUGGGUCAAGAUUGACGCUCAUGCACGAAAGCGUGGGGAGCAAACAGG
This 253-nucleotide ribosomal RNA is filed under the name uncultured bacterium. Its description in RNAcentral is "partial 16S ribosomal RNA". It matches the Rfam family "Bacterial small subunit ribosomal RNA", at positions 524 to 776 of the family's 1533-position model. The record is from RNAcentral.